AGUUUGUCUCUGACAUUAAGACUAGACUUCAGCAUAAGAAUCAAUACAAUUCUGGGACUAGGAAGAUACAAUUCACAGGAGAUCACACUGGUAGCUCACAACCAACAAAAUUGCCUUACUCCCCAAAGAGAACUACCUGGAAGGGAAAUGAGGCAAUGACAACAACUCAACUAUUGGGUUUGAAACAGAAAAAGAUUGGUAAACUUAAAGCUAGAAGAGGCAAUGGGAGGGCAAGGGGGAGUACUAUAACAAGUAAUGAUGAGUGUAAUAUACAUUUUCUUCCUUUUUUGCAUAACUGUUUGACUAUACUAUGUUUGUUCAUGUUCUAGGUCUUUAGACAAGUAAAUAUUGUGACGGUGGUAUAAGUUUUUGGAUCACACAUUUACUUGUCUAAUAGCAAUAUUUUAUUGGGCUUAAAUAUUGAAACAAUGUAUGUUUGCUACUCGAUUAAUGGCAAUGUUCUUCUUAUCUAUCUAUAAGAGAUGAUUAUAAUUAUAUCGCCAUUCCAUUAUUAGUGAUUUUCCUUGUAUGCAAAAAUAUGUGUGAAACUUAUAGUAUCAACAAAAACUUCAUUUCAUACCAACAAAGUACCAUUACAACUGCAACAUCACUAGACUCAUCAACAAUUACAACAUCCCAAAUCAAUAAACAUCAAAAAACCUUCAACAAAAUCGGCAGAAUUACAAACUUUGAACCAAAUAAUCUAACUACACUACAUCAUCUUAAAAACUAGCACCAACACAAAGACGACUCAAGAAAAAAUAAUAAACCACUUGUCACGACUCAAUUUCUUCCUCAGUGAGUUGCCGUGAUGACACCUAGUCUCUACGACUAGGUAAGCCUAACACUUUGCGGAAAAAUAAAAUAAAAGCAUGAACAUUAACUACUAACAGUGAUAAAUAUCUAAUAAGCAACUGAAUGCCACUCCGUAUAUACAAUUUUUACCUAUGAAAUGUAUCAAAUAAUUCCCAAAACCCGGAAUACUGUAAGUCACAAGCUACUAAGAAGUCCUAAAUAUUAUAUACAUCAUCUCUACAGAAAGAGAGGAAAAAUGAACAUAGGGUAAUAGAGGGGAACUCCGAGGAUCUGCGAGCACGGGCAGAUAUACAUUGAAGUCUCCAAUAAGCAGCAGUGACUGCAACUAGUGAUGAGACUGGUAAGAUGAACCUGGAUUUGCACACGAAAAAUAUGCACAGGAAAGGGCAUGAGUAUACUACAACGGUACUCAGUAAGUACCAAGCCUAACCUCGGUUGAGUAGUGACGAGAUCAGGUUAGGGCCCUACUGGUAUAAACAUAAUGAAAUAAGGAAGAAUGAAAUACCACAGGAAAAAAUAGAUACGGAAAGCUAACAAAGAUAGAAAAAAUGAAAGAAAAUAGCUCAUAACACAGUGAUAACAACAAGGGAUCUCCCGAGAUAUCGUCUCGUAGUCCCAAACGUAAAUAUGCAGGGGAUCUCCUGAAAUACCGUUCCUUAGUCCCAAAGUAAAUAUGCAGUGCUGGAGGAUCUCCCUGAAUACCGUUCUGUAGUCUCAAAGCAAAUAUAUAGCUCAAGUCAAUGAAGAAACAUGAAUUUCACUAAGCAUGUUGCACAGAGUUCAGAUAAGCAAUUAAGACACGUAGACAUGAUGUCCUAAACUAAACAGGAUAAUUACAUAUGCUAGUAUAACUCAGUUAAAGGAAAGCAUAUAUUUAUUUAAUGAAAAUGGAGAUUUUCGACAAAUAGCCUGUGUACGCACUCAUCACCUCAUGUACACGGCGCUAAUACAUCACACAGUACCAAAUCCUAAGGGGAGUUUAACCACAUAAGGUUAGGCAAGUCACCUACCUCGAACCAAGCUCAAUCAAUCUGCCACAAUGCUUUUGAAAUGGCCCAAAUUUAGCCAAAACCAAUUACAUAACAUGAAUAUAACUACAAGAAACUAAUCUAGCUAUUGAAAUCAAAGCUAAAGCAAGAAACUGAAAAAUCGCUCAAAAAGCCUCCCCGGACCCACAUUUUGAAAUCAGGUAAAAGUCACAAAGUAUGAACACUCAUUCACUCACGAGCCUAAACAUGCCAAAUUCACUCAAAUUUGAUACCAAAAUCUCGAUCAAAACCCCAAAAUUUGGUCUAAGAACUCUUCUCAAAUUUUCCCAAAUUUUCAUCCCAAAUCCAAAAUUAAAUGAUAAAAUUAAUAAUAGAUUAGUGGGAUAUAACCAAAAUCAAGUUAAGAAUCAUUACCCAAUUGAUAUAUCUGAAAAUAAAUUAGUGGGAUAUAACCAAAAUCAAGUUAAAAAUCAUUACCCAAUUGAUAUCUCUGAAAAUCCCUCAAAAUCUCGUCUAAAUCCGAGCUCCCACACUCAAGUUUUGAUAAAAAUGGCUAACCCUCGAUUUUGAAAUGUUUAAGUACUACCCAGGUAAUCCUUCUUUGCGAAUGCGGACAUCUUCUCGUGUUAACUUAGAACAAAAGUCCACUGAUCGAAAUUCUUCUUUCGCGAACGCGAGAGUCCUCUCGCGAACGCGCAACUUCACUUGCCAGACCCUUCGCGAAUGCGUUCUCCUCUACGCGAGAACAAAUCCUUGGGGUCCCAGCUGUUCCAUUUUUUCCUCUACGCAAACGCGUCCUACUACUCGUGUUCACGAUGCUUCCAAUGGCCACACCUUCGCGAAUAUGAGCUCCUCUUCGCGAACGCGAUGAACAAACUUCGGCAACAAAAACUAGAAAAAAUCUGCUAUCUUUCUAAAGUCCAAAAUGAUCCGUUGAGCAUCCAAAACACACUCGAGGCCCCCGGGAUCUCAACCAAACAUAGCAACCAAUCCUAAAACACCAUACGAACUUAGUCGAUCCCUCAAAUCACAUCAAAUAAUGCCAAAAUAACGAAUCACCCUCCAAUUCAAACAUAAAGAACUUGAAACUUCAAAAUUCUACAACUGAUGCCGAAACCUAUCAAUCCACGUCCGAUUGACCCCAAAUUUUGCACACAAGUCAUAAUUAACACUACAGACCUACUCCAACUUUCAAAAUCAGAAUCUGAUCCCGAUAUCAAAAAUUUCUCUACCGGUCCAAAUCUCCAAAAAUUUAACUUUCGCAAUUUCAAGCCUAAAUGAGCUAGGGACCUCCAAAACACAAUCUGGAUACGCCCCUAAAUUCAAAAUUACCUAACUGAGCUAACGGAACUAACACAACUCCAUUCGAAGUCAUCUUCACAUAGUUUCGACUACAGUCCAAUUCCUAAGGCUUAAGCUCCCAUUUAGGGACUAAGUGUCCCAAACACUUCUAAAAAUCAAAAUGAAACCUUCCGACAAGUCACAAUAGCAGAAAUAGAUAUGGGGAAAAUAGUUAAUAGGAGAUCGGGGUUUUAAGUCUCAAAACGACCGGCCGGGUCGUUACAUCAUUUCAUCAUUUGUAGUUUAUCCUCCAUCCUACCCGCAUCCUCUAAGUUUGCUGAAUUAAUUCCCUCAAUCUCUUACAUUAUUUUCUCCAUUUUCAGUCUUUCAGCAGAAACAACAUCUUCCAAGUUGUCAUCAUCUUCUUCAGUUAAUUCCUUUCAACUUCCACGGACUUCAGUGAAGUAUUCAAGUUGUUGAUUAACAUCGUCACAUGUGGCGACAUCUCUUCAUCCCGCCAUUCUCACAAACCACAUGAAGCUUCCUUGUCAAAAUGAGGACAUUUGUAGAAUCUACGACCACCGUUCAAGGAGUCUUAGCUACAAAAUAAUUUGCAAUUAAACCACAACCACAACGACACGACGAACCGGAAGAGACAGAUUUUUCAGACAUCUUGAAUUUUCUGUUAAUCAAUUAAGGCACAACUUUUACAACCAAACACAAUAUUCGAAGGGAACAGACAAAAAUUAAUUAGUUAAAAAAGAGAAAUUUUGGGGAAGAAGUUGGUAUGAGCAUACUUGAUGACCUAGGAACUAAAUUGGGAAAGAAGACGACUGAAACAGGUGGGUAUAAGGUAAAAAGAACUGACCUAGGUAAUAAAGGGUGGGUUGGAUCAGUUAAAUAGGUCGAAAAAUACCCAAUUUCAAUUUCAGCCCCACAAAGCCACGUGGCCAAAUGAAAGGUUGCCACAUCAUUUAAUGAGAGACCCACAUGUGUUGCCGUUAGUCGCGAUGGUAAUUUUGAUAAUAGAAUUAGUGUCCCAUACAUUUUCAGACGAAUAGAUCAGACGAUUAGAUGGAGGAGGGUGUAUAUAAACAAUUUACUAUACGAUAGGGAUAGUUUAAGCCCUUUUCAGAUCUAACAAUAAUUAUUAUUGCUUAACUUUUUUAGUACUUCAAUUCUAUCUCACUUUAAAACAUUAAUUCCAUAGAAGGGUUCUAUGCUCCUUUGACAUGUACUAAUUUAUUUGCGUUAAAUAUUAACUUUGUUUCUCUAUAUAAUAAUAUGUUACUAUUUUAUAGGAAGGUGUCACGGGGAUAUAAUGGAAUUGUUUUCCGAGGUCAAGAUUCUCAAGAAGGUACAGUAAAUGAAGAGGUGGAGGGAAAUUAGCACACCCUUGAUAGAUUAUGUUGUGUUGUCUCCUAUGCAACUAAUGACAUAAUCAAAGCUAUAAUGUAGAAUUAAAGUGCAAUUCCAAUGGUUAAGUCCAUAUAAAGGUGGAACUAAUUGAAGGUGAAGACAAAAUGGGAUACAACAAAAUACUAAAAUAAUUGGUCCAAAAUUGCUAAUCGAACACUCAUAAUCCCUUAGAUGAGACCAAAAAAGAACCCAUUGGUGGUAGUGAGAGUCCCCCUCGUAGUCUUUUAAGCCAUUGAUUGAAAAUCAAUUUUUUUUAUUAUAACCCAAAAGGAUAUAAAAAUAAAAAUAAAAAUUAUGGUUUGCAAGGAAGUAACACUAGAACGCAAAACAAUGAUAUCCAAACAAAAAUUCCUGGAUUUAUCCAAGAACUUCAAUUUGUGGCCAUCCUUUAAUGCUCUAAUGCUAACAAUAAUAGCAAGUCUCUUGUAUCAAAGAAGAUAGCCCACUCAACUCUCUGUCCAAGCAAAACAACCAAAAACAAAAACUUUAGCUCCUCUUACCUCUAGCUAGCAAUGAAUGACACAGUUGACAAGCUAGUAAUUUUCUUGGCAAAGAGAGAUGGAAUUGACAAACUUGUCAAGACAUUCCAAUACGUAUCCAAGCUCGUAAAUUGGCACGCUGAGAAAACGUACCCUGAAUUUGCUACUAGAGCUAAGCAAUGGGAAGUUGCAUCUGGCCUCAGUCGAAAAGCUUUCCGAAGUGGUCGAUUCCUCACUGGAUUCAAUGCCCUACGAAGGAGCCCCGGCACGUCCUCAGGUUUCAGAUUGCUAGCAGUUCUUGCCAAUUCAGGAGAGAUGGUCUAUUUCUUCUUUGACCAUUUUCUCUGGCUGUCGCGAAUCGGAGUUAUGGAUUCUAAAUAUGCAAAAAGGAUGAGCUUUAUUUCUGCAUUUGGUGAGUCUGUUGGAUACGUGUUUUUCAUUAUCUCGGAUUUUAUUCUCAUUUCAAGGGGCCUAAAAGCAGAAAGGAAGCUUUUGACUGAAGAGGAGGAGCCUAAGGAAACAGAAGGAGAAAUCAAGAAAAUUAGAAUGGAUAGGAUUAUGAGAUUGAUGGCUGUGGCAGCUAAUAUAGCUGACCUUAUAAUUGCCUUGGCUGAAAUUGAACCAAAUCCAUUCUGCAACCAUACUCUUACUUUAGGCAUUAGUGGCUUAGUUUCUGCAUGGGCUGGUUGGUAUAGAAACUGGCCCUCGUGAACUUAAGUCAUCAGAUUGAUGGCGAAUUUCAAAGAAUAUGAAUGUAACAAACUUCAGUUAUAUACGAUCAGCGCGAGCUGAAACGUUGCAAUUUACAAUAGGUUUUUAUUUUUCUAUUUUCUGUUCUAAAUUGGAUUUUGUUUCUGACUUAUGCAAAGUUCAGAUUUAAGUUAUAAGUAUACAUUAACGAAGAUCACACAACUAUUGAUUAGGCCAUUCAAAAAUCACUUUUAGAAAGUUGUCUAAGUUAAGCAUCAGUAAGUAACCUUAAAAAUAAAGUCGUAAAUAACUUGUUAUUGUAAUCGUAAUGUAAAAGACCACUAUAUUGUCCACUAUACAUUUAAAUUCAUUUGCAAUUACUCUUUUAAAGGUUAUAUAUUCAGGUUUUAAGAAGAAUUGCAUAUAACUCCUGCACCGUCUUUUUUGCUUUCUCCUCUGUUUUUUCCCGCAUUUGUAACUCUUGCACUAAUAGUAUUUAAUUUGUUACAGUAUGACUCUUCUGUUGAUCUCUUAAUUUUGGUAUGGCGAAAAACAUUACGUGGAAAUUAAAGACGCUAAAGACCACUAGCCAAGGAGAAUAUUGUAUAUAAUGAAAGUUACAACUAGAAGCUUUCUUUUCAACCUUCUCUUCUAGUAAUCCAAGGUAGAAAUGGAUUAUGAUUUUGUGCAUUGUAUUUGUAUGUGAAAAUUAGUUCCUGUUUUGUUAGGAUAUACUAUUACCAAUCCACUUCGUUUUUAUUCUUAAACACAUAAAGUGGUUUUAGCUUUAUUUACUUUUUACGAAUAUAACUUUUUACUUAAUCAGAUAUUUUCGUCUUAUUUAUGUUCGGCUGCUACGGCCGUUUAAUCAGUCAAAGCUUUAAUUUAGAAGAACACGGUUUAUUGAUAAUAAAAACUGAAUAAAGGAAAGUGAUUUUGCUAACAAUAAGAUAGACAGAAGAAAACAAAGUAAACCAGUAUAUUCAGAUGAUCUUUCGUGUCCUUACAAAUGAUCCAUUCUCUCCUUUUUAUAGCUAUCUUAAAGAUAUACGUUUUGCCUUUGUUUUAAUUAGGCCACUAUAGACAAUUAAAGGCAUUAAAUGCUACGUUACAUAAUCAUUGUAAUUUAAUACAGAUUCUAAAACGUUUUUAGUAUUUACUGCUUAUUAAAUACUGUAUUUGUACUCUCUUAUGCUGUCAGAUUUAUUCUCCUUGACUUUUGAGUAUAAAUAGGUACAAGCGUUGAGUCUUUUGAAUAACUGCUCGUGCCUCUACUUGUACCUUCUGCUCGUAUCUAUUGCAACUCGUGCCUCUUUGCCAAUCAUCACUCUUUGACCAGCCUUCGUGUCAUGACAUAUCAUCUUCCAAUCACUUUAAUAUGUAAACUCGAUUUUCCCAAUACAGAUAGUCCCCUCACUUACCAUUUAUUCAUCAAUUGAAUAUUUGGGAAGUGGAUUUUAUUAAAGCGGGAAUGUUGCCGCUAUUAAUGCUACUGUAAAAGCGACGCUUCAAUUGUCACUUCCAUUUAAUACUUAUCACACGUGGCACCCUUUUAUUGGCUCUGUAACUUUACAGCACUUUUUAGGGCUUCAAUAAUCACGAAGUGACAAUUCUCAUUAUGACCUUUCCAUCAUUGCACUUUUUCCUUUGACGGUUGCUUCCUAGUAUAAACAUAGUUUUCAUAUUUAUCCUUAUUACAUAAAGUUCUCUGAGUAUUCAAUUCUUGAAUUUUUAUUUGCUUCUUCCUCGUACUAUCAUGUCUUCACCAAACUCUAACCCUAGAAGAGUCCCUAUAGUUGAUAACUCUCCUCUUGCCCCUAGCAGGAGUAGAAGAGGAGGUAGACUUCGUAAUUUAGGGUCUUCUUCUGUACGUGGUUCUUCUCUUCCUUCAUCUAGUUCCAGUCCUUCCUUUAGAACCAGAGGUUCUUUCUCACAAAGAUCUUCUUCCAGGGGUAAGAAACUCGCUGAACCUGUUCGUGAACCUACAGUAGAAGAAAUAGUUCCUGCAGAACUAUCUUUCUAUAAUGACAGGGAGUCCCUUAGAAAUCAAGUAUUCUCUUUAGAUCGUGCUGAUAUCUAUCCAACUCAGAUUACAGAGGGUCUGAUUUCUUUAGUUCGUAAAGACUGUCAUUGGAGUCAUGACUUCCCUAUCAUAAUUCCCAACGCGAAUUAAAGAAUCACCUCUUAUUUAAUUGGAUUUUCCUUUGUUUAUACAUACCAUUUCACAUUAGGAUUCAAACUUGCUAUUGAUCCUGUUAUUCUCGAAUUCUAUCGUUUUUUCGAUGUUUGCUUAAGCCAAAUUGGCCCUAUAGUGUGGAGGGUUGUUGCCUGUUUGAGGCAUUUGACAAACAUGACCGGUGUGCCUUUCACUUUUGCUCAUUUAAUUCACCUUUACUCUCCUAGACUUUUCCGCCAAGGUGUUUUUACUUUAGUAGCUAGGAGCAAAAGAGUUCUGGUUAGUCCAGAAGAUGACAGAGACCGUGGCUGGUACGCCAGGUUUGUUGCUUCCCCCACCGUGGGUUUAGUCGGUGAUGAAAAUGUCCCCUUCACCGAGAAGUGGAAUUUUGCACGUGAGUUUUCCUUUUUAAUAACUUUCUCGUACCUUUUUCUUCAAUUUUGAUGAUCUCUAUUCUCAUUUUCCUUUUUCUUUUUAGCAACCAUGGGAAUUGUUGAAGAAAUUCCCAAUUUCCGUUGUUGGAUAGGAAGGUUACUGAAUACAGCCCCAAUGAAGUGUAGAUCUUGGAAGCAUCUUUCCCAAUGAUUUGGUUGGAAAGUGAAAACUCAUGGUAAGAGUUUUUUUUAUUUAACUUUUUAUUGUUUUUCCNNNNNNNNNNNNNNNNNNNNNNNCCCAGAACUUAUUUUAAUCCUUCUUUUUAUCAGGAUUUACUAUUUGAGGGAUUAGUGCCAAGGCGGUCGUGGCUUCCUGCAUUUCUUUGGAAAAAGCCCAAGAGAUAAUCUUGGGUUCUUCAUCGAAAAGGAAAGCUGCUAAUGACCAAGAUUCUGAAGAAGAGGAAUAUGGGGGUUCCUUAGUAAAAAGGCCACGAGCUCGUAAGCGAAUCAUUUCUGAUGAUGAAGCAUCCCCCUCGUUCUAUUCCUCUUAUCGAGUUUAUUGAAGCCCCGGUGAUGAUUCCUGAUGAUGAAGUCCUUGUUGCUGCUCAUGAUUCAGUUGAGAAACUUUUUAACCGGUGGUUUGAUGGUGAAUAUUUAGGUCCGAUUUCUGAUGAAGCACCGCUUGCUUCUUUUUCUACUCCCGUUCAUGUGAUUCCUCCUUCAACUGCUCCUUACACAGAGGUUGGUUCUUCAAGUAGGAAUGAUGCUAUGAGGCGAGUUACCAUUGAAGUCCCCACUGAGGGUAACCUUUUAAGGAAAUCAGGUCAAGCUGACGUGUGGCUAAAGCCUUUGAUUGGUCUAGUUGAGAGAGCUAAGCUUGAUGGCCAUAGUUCUGUGACCUUGAUGAAUGAUAUAGUGCAUACUUAUUUAAAGGUAUUCCUUUUUCAAGUUUUACUUUGUCAUUUUUCUAUCUUCAGGAUUCUUAUUUUUUUCCCCUCUCUUUUUUUUAGGUCAAUCUAAUUGACACAGAGAUGAUGAAAAUGGUUACCCUCUCAGAGCAAUUAGUGCGUGACUACCAAGUGGAGGCGGAUAAUUGGAAGGAACGGUGUGAAAGUCUUCAGAUCGACAUUGAAAAUUUAGAAGAAAGUAAAAGUACCUUAAAGCAGCAGGUACGGGCUUUGACUUCAAAAUUGGCAGUUGAAAAGCUUCUUCAAAUCAAGCAAGUAAGGAAAAGGCUCAUCUGGAAACCUCUUUUUUCGAGCAAUUGUGCAAGGCAAGUGAAGAAAUUAGAGAGUUGAGAGCUCUCUUGAGUGAAAAAGAAGCAUAUGCUGGUGAACUCGUGCAGAAUUUGACUCAAACUCAAGAAGACCUCCGAGUAUCUUCUGAUAAGUUUGCUCUUUAGAGAGUUCCCACGUUUUUCUUCAAAGUUAUUAUGAAUCUGCCUUGACUGAAAAUGAAAAGUUAAGAAAUAAAAUUGCUGACUGGGAAAGAGAUUACGAGAUCCUUGAAGAUAAAACUGCCAUUGAAGUGAGUUGGGCGUUUUUAAAUUCUCGCUAUGAUACCCUCGUUGAAGUUAGCCAGGAGAAUUUUAAUUUGGAAUCUGAGUUAGCCAAGAUCAAAGAGACUAUUGAGAAGACUCGGCAGAACCAAGAUUUUUCUUCUCUCGUGGCUGAAGUUUCUGAAAAUGUUGAAGAUAAUACGGGUAUCCCUACUCCUUCAAGUCAAGUUGAGCCCACUGCUGCUGAUGACCCUGCUUCAGUCCCUUCAUCUUCUCAUUGAAAAGUUUAUGUUGUUUGAUUUUUUUUCCUUUUGGUGGUUUGUGAUUGUGACCCUUGAUCUUUUUAAGGGUUUGUUGGAAACGUUAAAUCCCCAGUCCUUUUAUGGGGCACUUUGUAUAAACAACACUUUACAACUGUUUACAACACUUUACCCUGCUUCAGUCCCUUCCCCAAGUUUUUAUUUGAACUUUGUCCAGUUUUAAAUAAUACUUUACAUGUAUUUAAAUUACUUCUAUAACUUUCUCGCAACUGUUUUCCUUAUAACAGAUUUCAAUAAAGAAAAUGAAUAAAAGGUUUUUACUUAUAACCCGUUUCAGUACAUUGCCUUUACCCUAACUAUGAUAAGGUUUUUCUUUGGCUUUGGCUCGUGACUUCAAUCGAACGAUCCCGUACUUCUAUAGAAUCUUAGGCGUGCUUCUCUUUUUCCUUCAAGUAGAUCAAGAUUUAUGCGCAUUUCUUCGCCAUUAGACUCUUCUGACAUUUGUGUAAACCUUGCGCUUGGCUCUCCUAUCUCAACUGGAAUUAAAGCUUCAGCUCCAUAAACCAAUAAAAAUGGUGUUUUUCCCGUACUUGUUUUUGUUGUUGUGUAGUAUGCCCAUAAAACACCAGGUAACAAUUCUGGCCGAUUACCUUUGGAUUCCUCCAAAUGUUUCUUUAAAUUAUUGAUAAUGACUUUGUUUGUUGACUCAGCUUGUCCAUUACCCGUCGGAUGAUAAGGUGUGGAUGUAAUCUUUUUGAUCUGCCAACUUUGAAAAAACUCUGUAAGUUGUGCGCCUAUAAAUUGAGGGCCAUUAUCACACAUGAUUUCCUUUGGCACACCGAACCGACAUAUGAUAUUUCGCCAAAUGAAAUAUCUAACUUCUUUUUCUCGCACCCGUUUGAAUGCUCCUGCUUCCACCCAUUUAGUAAAAUAGUCAGUAAGUACAAAUAAGAAUUUUACCUGUUCUUUUGCUUGUGGUAGUGGACCCACGAUAUCCAUUUCCCAUUUCAUAAAUGGACACGGUGCAAUGAUCGGAUGUAACAACUCCGCAGGUCUAUACAUGUUAUUACCGUAUCUUUGGCACUUAUCACAUUUAGCCACAAAAUUUACCGCAGGUCUAUACAUGUUAUUUCGCUUCUUCUUCCAUUUUAGCCAGUAAUAACCUGCCCCAAUCAUGGUUCUUACCAGUGAUCUUCCUCCGGCGUGAUUUCCACAAUGCCCCUCGUGUAUCUCUCUCAUUACAUAUUCCGUCUGUGAAGGCCCGAGGCACAUUUCUAAGGGUCUACCGAACAUUUUUCGAUAAAGAUUGCCUUGCUUUAGACAAUAUCGAGCAGCCUUUUUCCGAAGCGCGUGAGCUUUUUUCUUGUCUUUAGGGACGAUUCCAUACUGCAAAAAGCAACAAUNNNNNNNNNNNNNNNNNNNNNNNNNUUUCCUGACCAGAUCCCGUACCUUCUCUAAGUACUGCUGCAUCCGUGCUUCUCUGGCCGUAUAAGUCCCCAGCAUUGGAUUAACUACGAGCUAGAAUCACUUUUGAUCACAAUCUGAUUAAUGCCGAGUUCUCAUUCUAGUUCUAAACCUGCAAUCACAGCUUCAUACUCUGCCUCAUUGUUAGUUAUAGAAUGACAUUUAAUGGCUUGUCGAAUGGUUUCAUCUGUAGGUGGUACCAAAACAAUUCCCAGGCCUGCACCCUUAACAUUAGAGGAACCAUCAGUGAAUAAGGUCCAAAUUCCUGGAUUAGAGCCGUUGAACACUUGUAAUUCUUUUUCUGCUUCCAAUUGCAUUCCUUAGCUAAAAUCAGCCACAAAAUCUGCUAACACUUGAGAUUUUAUCGCGGUUCUAGGCUAGUAUGCAAUGUCAUAUUCACUUAAUUCUAUAGCUCAUUUAGCUAACCUACCUGACAACUCAUGCUUAUUUAAUAUAUUGCGUAAUGGAUAAGCAAUUACUACAACGAUAGGAUGACAUUGAAAAUAAGGCCUUAAUUUUCUAGAUGCCAUGAUUAAUGCAAGUGCUAGCUUUUCUAACUAAGGAUACCGCGUAUCCGUAUCUAAUAAAGAUUUGCUGACAUAAUAGAUCGGAGAUUGUUUACCUUGGUCUUCACGGACUAAAACAGCACUUACUGCUACUUCUGAGACAACAAGGUAGAUGAACAAUGUUUCCCCAACCUUUGGUUUUGCGAGUAAUGGCGGAUUUGACAGGUAUGCCUUCAAAUAUUUGAGUGUCUGCUGACAUUCCUCAGUCCAUUCGAACUGAUCUUGCUUUUUAAGAGCUGAAAAGAACUUAAAGAAUUUUUCUGAUGAUUUAGAAAUGAAUCUCCCCAAGGCUGCAAUUCUUCCUGUCAUCCUCUGCACUUCUUUUCUACUUGUAAGCAUGUCAGGAAUUUCUUCAAUGGCCUUAAUCUGUGUGGGAUUCACUUCAAUACCACUGUUAUAAACAAGAAAACCAAAAACUUACCUGAUGCAACACCGAAUGCACAUUUCUCCGAAUUUAAUUUCAUAUUGAAUUUUCGCAAGACCUGAAACGUAUCAGACAAGUGCGAUAUAUGAUCCCCUGAAUGUUGGGUUUUAACGAGCAUGUCAUCUAUGAAAACCUCCAUUGUUUUUCCCAAAUGUUUUUGGAACAUUUUGGUCACAAGUCUUUGAUAUGUUGCACCAGCAUUUUUGAGACCAAAAGACAUUAUUUUAUAACACUAAGUCCCCUUAUCUGUUAUAAAUGAAGUUUUUUCUUCAUCUAUUGGAUCCAUUUUGAUCUGAUUGUAUCCUGAAUACGCAUCUAAAAAACUUAACAAUUCAUGUCCUGCAGUAGCAUCAAUUAGUUGAUCUAUAUGUAGUAAUGGAAAAGAAUCUUUAGGACAAGCUUUGUCAAGGUCUGUGUAAUCUACACAAACUCGCCACUUACCAUUCUUCUUCGGCACCACAACAGUAUUGGCUAACCAAUUAGGAUACUUUACCUCACAGAUAGACCCAAUCUUUAACAAUUUUUGAACCUCAUCUUAAAUCACCUGAUUUUUGAAAGUUCAUCGCUUUCUCUUCUUUUGUUUGAUUGGGGGAUACGAUGGGUCUUUAUUUAUUUUGUGAGUCAUUACCUCCGGUGGUAUUCCUGUCAUAUCAUAGUAGGACCAAGCAAAACAAUCCAUGUUAGUUUUAAAAAUCAAUCAAUUUACCNNNNNNNNNNNNNNNNNNNNNNNNNNNNNNNNNNNNNNNNNNNNNNNNNNNNNNNNNNNNNNNNNNNNNNNNNNNNNNNNNNNNNNNNNNNNNNNNNNNNNNNNNNNNNNNNNNNNNNNNNNNNNNNNNNNNNNNNNNNNNNNNNNCAAUCGUUGUCUUGAUAUUUUCAUUUUUUUCUGGUUCUUGAAUGGCAUCUGGCCUUGAGUCCACAUCUGAUCGUCCUUGUUCAGUUGAGGUUUGUGUUGUGGUACCCUCAACUGGAUUCUGUAAUUGCUAUUUUUCUUCAUUUCCCAUACUUGAAUCUGCUACAGAAUUGAUGCUUCUGGAUGUAUGUUGAUCCCCACGGAUUUGACAUAUUCCCCAUGGUGAUGGAAAUUUAAUAACUUGAUGCAAGGUUGAUGGAACGACAUCCAUCUCGUGGAUCCAUGGUCUCCCAAGGAUCAUAUUGUAAGCCAUCUCCAUAUCUACCACCUGAAAUUUUGUAUCCUUGACAACUCCUUCUGCGAAUGUUGUAAGUAUUACCUCCCCUUUUGUCACUACGCUGGAAUUGUCAAAUCCAGAUAGAGUAUGCGCCUUUGGUAUUAAUUUAUAUUCAGCUUGCAUCUCACGUAGUACUCUUAGCAAAAUAAUGUUCACGAAACUACCUGGAUCAAUCAAAACUCAUUUCACAUUAGUAUCAUGUACAAGUAAAGAUAUUACCAGUGCAUCGUUAUGUAGGGAUAAUACGCCAUCCGUGUUUGCAUCAUCAAACGUAAUGCUUUCUUCCUCUAAGACAUGUUGCACCCACUUCCCGUGGGUAAUUGUGACUUUGGAGACUUUAUUGGCUGCUGUGUACGUCACACCAUUGAUGUCUUCACCUCCACUUAUCACAUUAACGGUCCUUUUGGGAGAAGGUGGUUUUGGGGGCUCCUGCCUAUUCUUCAUAUAUGCUUGCUUACCUCUCUCACUGAAUAAUUCAGUGAGAUACCCUUGCUUUAAUAGAUGAUCAACUUCACCUUGCAGCAACCUACAGUCUGCCGUUUUAUGCCCGUGAUCAUUGUGAAAUUCGCACCAGUGAUCAGGGUUGUGCCUGUUUGGGUUCGAUCUUAUUUCUUUCGGCCACCGUACCUUAUCACCCAUUUUUCUUAAAACAGCUACGAGCUCGGAAGUGCUUACAUUAAAAUUAUAACUGCCAAACCAUGCUUUCAAAUUUCUAUCAUCAUCCCAUGACUCUCGCUCGUUUCGAUCUUUUCCAAAUCUUGAUGACGAGCCCGACUCUCUAUUCCUCGACCUAUGAUCGUACCUCGGAUUGUCCUGUUUUGACCGUGAAUCUUUUCCUACUGGACUCAUAUAUGGUUCGUACCUGUUUUUACUGGACCUUUUUUCGAUUUCCGCCCGUCUCGAACUCACCUUUUCUUCUUUUUGAGAUCAUGAGAUAAUAUCCUCUUCUAUCCUUAGAUUCAUACUGUAUCUGUUAUAAACGUCAUUCCACGUUGUUGCUGGGAAUUCACGAAGACUUUCCUUGAGUCGCCUCGUGGCUUCAGAGCUUUUUUCAUUCAAAUUACUAGUGAAGGCUAUAGCUGCCCAAUUGUCAGGUACGCGCGGUAACGUCAUUCUUUCACGCUGGAACCUAUCCACGAACUCCCUAAGCAAUUCUGAGUCCCCUUGCUUGAUUUUGAAAAUAUCUUCCAUUUUUUUUGACUUUUUGAGCUCCUGAGUGUGCUUUGAUAAAUGAAUCGGCAAGCUCAGCAAAAUAAUUUAUUGAAUUUUUAGGUAAAAGAGAAUACCAUGUUAAUGCAUCCUUAGUGAGUGUUUCACCGAAUUCUUUGACCAAUACUGACUCAAUUUCUUGUUUGAUCAAGUCAUUGCCUUUUACGCCUGUUGUGAAUGCAGUCACGUGGUCUCGUGGAUCAGUUAUUCCAUCGUAUUUUGGAAUAUCGGGCAUUUUGAAUUUCUUUGGAAUUGGGAGGGGGCAGCACUUGGCUUCCAAGGUUGUUGUGAAUAUUUAUCCAUAUCUAUCCUUUUGAUUACGGGUGGUACUCCAGGUAUUUCCUCUAUGCGGUCACUUUGUUCCUUGAGCUGUUUCUACAAUGUUAGUACUAAAUUUUGUAAAUCCGAAUUGACUAAGCUACAUGGUUCUCCUUCUCGUGACUCACUGGGGAUUCCACCACUACCUGAAUUAGCAAGCCCAAAACAAGGGUUCUCCAAAGUGUUAUUAUUUGGAGUGGGUGUUGGUGGUGCAACGGGUAAUUGGCUGACAAAGGCCUCAAGAGCUUUAUUGACCUGUUGAGCGAUUAGCUUUUGCAAAGCUUCAUUGAUAGCUUAAUCAUUUUCGAAUUGAGAAUUUCCAUUUGCAUGAGAUCUAUCAAGAGUGCCUUCUCGAAAUCAUCGAGGAGAACUUUGUGGAGAAGGGAUUGGGAUGUGAUCAUCCUGUGGAUUCUCCUGUAAUUGUUGGUUUCCUUGGUUUCCUUGGGUGUUGUCAUUGAUGUUCGAUAUAGUUGAUACAACAAAAAAGGUUAGGCUAAGAAAGAGUAGAUUAUCAGAUCCCCGGUAAGGGAACCAAUUUGUUUAACCAAAAAGUGGAAUUUCAGUGAAAGCUUUAAUUUAGAAGAACACGGGUUACUGAUAAUCAAAACUGAAUAAAGGAAAGUGAUUUUACUAACAAUAAGAUAGACAGAAGAAAACAAAGUAAACCAGUAUAUUCAGAUGAUCUUUCGUAUCCUUACAAAUGAUCCAUUCUCUCCUUUUUAUAGCUAUCUUAAAGAUAUACGUUUUGCCUUUGUUAUAAUUAGGCCACUAUAUACAAUUAAAGGCAUUAAAUGCUACAUUACAUAAUUAUUGUAAUUUAAUACAGAUUCUAUAACGUUUUUAGUAUUUACUGCUUAUUAAAUACUGUAUUUGUACUCUCUUAUGCUGUCAGAUUCAUUCUCCUUGACUUUUGAGUAUAAAUAGGUACGAGCGUUGAGUCUUUUGAAUAACUGCUCGUGCUUCUACUUGUACCUUCUGCUCGUAUCUAUUGCAACUCGUGCCUCUUUUCCAAUCAUCACUCUUUGACCAGCCUUCAUAUCAUAACACGUCAUCUUCCAAUCACUUUAAUAUGUAAACUCGAUUUUUCCAAUACAACGGCAUGUUGUAAAACUAAAUGAACCGAACUAUUUCUAAACUGAAAUAUUUACAACAUCAAAAUCUUUUAACUUUUGAAUGUAACUCUAUCUAGUUUCCUGACAGAAUAAAAAGAUAUCCAUCUAAUGACCUUUAUAGGUAAAGAUACCAUGUGGUUAAGCGUAGAGAGUAAUCUUCCUAAGAUAAAGCAGUAAAAAUUUACUUGCACAUGAUACUUGCAUCAAAUUAAUAAAUAGAUAAUAUGUGUUUGCAUAUAAAAUUUUCACUUAAUCAUAAUUAAUUUUUAUAUAUUCUCGCCUAAUUUUUUCACUUAACUAAUAAAGUAACAUAGUUCGCUAUAAAACACUAGUGGCUAAUAAGUAGGAAUAGUAAGUUUUUAUGAAAUCAAAGUGCUCAUCGCCAAUAGCUUACACGGGGAAUUAGAGAGCAAAAUCAACCUAUAUAUAUAAAUGAUUUUUACUAUAAGGUAAAUUUUAAAAUAUCUAGACGAAUGUAACGUGUUGUAACGACUCGAUCGGUCGUUUUGAGCUCUAGCAUGUCGUUCAGCAGUUUGAGACCUUGAGUAGCUUCACUUCAUGUGUUAUGACUAGCACGCGCAGUUGGUUUUGAUUUUCGGGAAGUUCGGAGUUGAUUUGGAAGGAUAAUUCUCAAUUCGAAAGCUUUAAGUUGGAAGAGUUGAUCAAGGUUUAAAACAACCUCAGAAUCGGGAUUCGAAAGUUCCUAUAAGUUCAGAAGGUGAUUUCAGACUUAGGCGUAUGUUCGGGUUGAGUAUCGGAUGGUCCAAGAGCGUUUCAACGCUUAAUAUCGGAAGUUUGUAUUUUGAAGGUUUUGAAAUUUGCUAAGUUUGACUUGGAAUGGAUUUCGGAAUUAUCAAACUCCGGAUGGAGUUUUGGGACCUUGGAUAGGUUCAUUUAGUUGAUUGAAACUUGUGUGUGACGUUUGGUCGUAACCAGAAUGUCUAAGUAUGAUUCGGACGCAUUCGGUGAAGUUUCAAUGUUUGAAAGUUAAGAGAAGGUUUUGAUCCUCGAUUCAUGGUUUUGAUGUUAUUCAUGGCAUUUCGAGUCUUUGGGGAAGUUUGGAUAAGGUAUUGGGACUGGUUGGUAUGAUUGAACGGGGUCCCAGGGGCCUCGGGGUGGUUUCGGACCAAGUUUGAGUGUUUUGCUAGUGCAUGUUUCUGGUGUUGUCCUUGCGAACGCGGUGGGGAGCACGUGCUCGCGGAGAAGGAUUUGAGCAAGAGGUUGUUGUGCUUCGCGUUCGCGAUUAGCUUGUCGUAUUCACGAAGGUUUGCGCAGUGGUGCUUCGCGUUCACGAAUAAGGAUUUGAGUAGGAGGUCGUUGUGCUUCGUGUUCGCAAUUGACGUGCCGCGUUCACCAAAAGUUUGGGCAGUGGUGCUCCGCGUUCAUGAAGGAGUAGUUGACCUGGAGUCUUGGCCUUCGCGUUCGUGGAGGCGUGGUCGCAUUCACGUUCGCGAAGAUGCGGCCUAGUAAAGCAACACGUUUGUGGGCCUUGUCUUGCAUUCAUGAUGAUGAUUUUUGGAGCAGGAGUUUGAGUAUGCUUCGCUAAUGCGAGGCACACGCCUCAUUCGCGAAGAAGGUUCACCUGGAUAGAAUAUAAGUUAGCAAAUUGAGAAUUUGCUCAUUUUUAUCUCUUUUUUCACAUUGGAGCCGAUUUUGGGGCGAUUUUGAAGAGCCAUUUUCAUCAUAUAUCACGAGGUAAGUGAUUCCUACUCAUUUUGAGCUAAAUACAUGGAUAAUAUUUGGAUUAAAAUAUGGAAAUUAUUAGAAAUUGUGGAAUUUUGGAAGAAAAUCUAGAAAUAACAUUUUUGGAUUUUGACCACAAUAUUGGAUAUGAAAUUGGGAAUAAAUUAUAUAUUUGAAUUUGUGGUGCUAUGAGUAGUAUUUAUUUUCAAAAACUUUUGGAAUUCGGGCAUGUGGGCCUGGGGGUUGACUUUGUUGACUUUUUGUGUAGAGAUGGGAAUUAUUUCUAAUUGGUUAAAUUACGAGUUUGAGUAUAUUUUGAUUAGUUUGUACAUUCUUUGGCUAGUUCGGAUCGUUUAACAUUGGCUUGAAGUGUUAGAGAUGUGUUGGAGCCGGUUAUCAAAAACUACUCAUAGUCGGUGCUAUGAGUAGUAUUUAUUUUCAAAAACUUUCGGAAUCCGGGCACGUGGGCCCGAGAGUUGACUUUGUUGACUUUUCGUGUAGAGAUUGGAAUUAUUUCUAAUUGAUUAAAUUACGAGUUUUAAGUAUAUUUUGAUUGGUUUGUACGUUCUUUGGCUAGUUUCGGAUCAUUUAACAUUGGCUUGAAGUGUUAGAGAUGUGUUGGAGCCGGUUAUCGGAUUUUGGAGCGAUUUAAGUUUCCUGUCUAACCUUAUGAGGGAGAAUUUAUCCUAUAGGUGUUAUGUUUUAUAUGUGCUACAUAUUGUGAGAGCUACGCAUGUAUGAAGUGACGAAUAUCCGUGCAUAUGCUAGAAUUUAUGAUUAGGUCAAGGUAGACUUAGACUCACUCUAUGCUUUAAUGGUAAUACUUGAGUUAUUCUUGCACUUUAAUUUAUAUUUUUUCCUGAGAUUAGACUUACAUAAAGUAGCGGACUUGCUACUUAGAUAUUUGGCGAGUUGCUUGAUUAGUAGUAAAAUUGUACUUUAUUUUACGAAUUUCUCCCACGUUGUACGAAAUUGUCGGAUAAGUUAUCUAAAUUUCAUAACUCACAUAUAUAUUCGUGAGUAGAGCCAGUGACCCGUCAAGUUACACUAUUCCUAGGGGAUCGGGUUGAACGCCUCAAUAGUACUAUUAUGGAUCGGGUCGUACGAUUCGGUGGUAUUAUGAGAUACAUUUAUGGUUCAGGCUGGUCGACCAUCGACAUUGUAUAUGAUUAUUAUGGGAUCGGACCAUACGCCACAAUAAGAAAUCAUGCCAUUACUCUUAUGGGAUCGAGUCGUUCGUCUCAGCAGAAUCGUGCAAAUAUUUGAUAAGGAGUCGGCGUAAUUAUGAGUUUUCUUGACUUGAAAUGUGACCAUUUAUUUGGUGUUGACCAUUAUGUAUUCCAUUUGAGGAAGUAUCCAGUAUUUGAGGACUUCAUGUUUACUCUUCAGUUGAGGAUCGUAUUAUGUACCUAUAUCUAUUUUCACUGCUUUACUUGUCAUACUUCAUACCUGUCUGCUUUUAUUGUACUUGAUUUAUUGGACCACUAGUAAGUGUCGAUGUCGACCCCUCAUCACUAGUUCUUCGGGGUUAGGCUAGAUACUUACUGGGUACGCGUUAAUUUACGUACUCAUACUACACUUCUGCAUUAAUUGUGCAGGUACUGAGAUAGGUUCAUUUGGUGGUCAUCUUGGCACAUAAGCGCAGUUGCUGAGGGGACUUUAUGGUGAUCUGCAUUUCAUGUUACGAUCCGCAGUACAGUAAGUCUUCAUCAUAUUUAUUUAUUCAAUUUAUCAUGUCUAUUUUAUAUUCCAGACAGACGUUGUAUUAGUAUUAUACUCCCUGAUAGAUGCUCAUGUACUUGUGACACCGGAUUUUAUGGAUUUAGAUUUUGCUCUUGAUUGUAUUCCUCUAUGAUUCUUCUGGUUUAUAUUUUUGCUUUAUUCGAACAUUUAAAAUAUUAACAUCUAUAUUUUUUAUUUAAAAAAACGAUACCACUCUGUAUUUCUUUAAUAGUUUCGAAAUGCAUUUUAGAUUAACUAUUGACAUGUUGAUUUAAUAGUUGGCUUGCCUAAUAGUAGCGUUGGGCGCAAUCACGACUUACGGUGGAUUUUGAAUCGUGACUAUAUAACAUGAGUUAUUAGCAAUUGUCUUUCAGGUAACUUGAUUGUUAUAUAUUUUUUGGUCAAAUAGGCAAAAACUUUAUUCAACCAAGUAUAAUUAUGUAACCACCAAAGGAUGUGGUGCAGUGGAUGAGACUGUUCCUCCCUUAACAAGAGGUCUCGAGUUUGAGCCCUGGGUAUGGAAAAAUACUUGGAAGGGAGUGCUUUCCCCCGAAUGGGGCCCUACGCGACGCGAAUCCGGAUAUAGUCGGGCUUCAAUAUGGAUACCGAACACUGGGUGGGAAACCAAAAAAAAUUAUAAUUAUGUACAUCCGCUAGCUCAAUUGGACUAUAACUAGAUCCAUAUUAAAAUUCAUGCCAAACGAAAAACCCUUCAGCCACUUAACAGUUUCCUCUAUAAACUAUCCAUUUACAUAGACUAGGUAGGGAUACUUAUUUUAUUUGAUUUUUUAUUGUCCUCUAAUGUGCAGUUGAAGAACCAUAUUUCGAGUUAUCUGAGUGCACUCUUUCCUUUUCCCCUGAAAUCUACGCAUAUUCCUUUGAAUCUAAGUGUUAUAUACUAGUACUGCAAACAAAAACGCCAAUAUGAUUGCUCGAGGUCUGUCACUCUUAGGGGUCGUUUGGUAGGGUGCAUUGGAGAAAAUAAUGCAUGCAUUAAUUUUUGGUAUUAGUAAUCCCUUGUUUGGUACACUUUUUCAACCUAUGUAUUACUAAUGCAAGUAUUAGUUAUACAACAUAUUUGGUAUUAUCCUAUGUAUAACUAAUACAUAGCAAACUAUGUAUUAGUUUUCCGAAGUGAUCGAUUCCUCACUGGAUUCAAUGCCCUACGAAGGAGCCCCGGCACGUCCUCAGGUUUCAGGUUGCUAGCAGUUCUUGCCAAUUCAGGAGAGAUGGUCUGUUUCUUCUUUGACCAUUAAUUUUCUCUGGCUGUCGCGAAUCGGAGUUAUGGAUUCUAAAUAUGCAAAACGGAUGAGCUUCAUUUUUGCAUUUGGUGAGUCUGUUGGAUACGUGUUUUUUAUUAUCUCGGAUUUUAUCCUCAUUACGAGUGGCCUAAAAGCAGAAAGGAAGCUUUUGACUGAAGAGGAGGAGUCUAAGGAAACAGAAGGCGAAAUCAAGAAAAUUAGAAUGGAUAGAAUUAUGAGAUUGAUGGCUGUGGCAGCUAAUAUAGCUGACCUUAUAAUUGCCUUGGCUGAAAU
RNAcentral lists this long non-coding RNA (21202 nucleotides) under Nicotiana tabacum (common tobacco). RNAcentral's name for it is "long non-coding RNA (NTAB_LNC006441)". The record is from RNAcentral. Lineage: Eukaryota; Viridiplantae; Streptophyta; Magnoliopsida; Solanales; Solanaceae.